UUGACCUCGGAUCAGGUAGGAAUACCCGCUGAACUUAAGCAUAUCAAUAAGCGGAGGAAAAGAAACCAACAGGGAUUGCCUCAGUAACGGCGAGUGAAGCGGCAACAGCUCAAAUUUGAAAUCUGGCCUUACGGUCCGAGUUGUAAUUUGUAGAGGAUGUUUUGGGCACCGCUCCGGGUUAAAUUUCUUGGAACAGAAUGUCAAAGAGGGUGAGAGUCCCGUCUUGGCCCGCGGUAGGACCUAUGUAAAACUCCUUCGACGAGUCGACUUGUUUGGGAAUGCAGGUCCAAAUGGGUGGUAAAUUUCAUCUAAAGCUAAAUAUUGGCCAGAGACCGAUAGCGCACAAGUAGAGUGAUCGAAAGAUGAAAAGCACUUUGAAAAGAGAGUUAAACAGUAUGUGAAAUUGUUGAAAGGGAAGCGCUGGCAACCAGACUCGAGCGCGGUGUUCCCCUUGGCUUCUGCCUUGGUUAUUUCACCGUGACCGGGCCAUCAUCAGUUUUGGGGGUUGGUUAAAGAUCUGGGGAAUGUAUCCUCUCUUUCGGGGGAGGACUUAUAGCCCUGGAUGUCAUGCAGCCUCCCGGGACUGAGGAACGCGCUUCGGCGAGGAUGAUGGCGUAAUGGUUGUCAGCGACCCGUCUUGAAACACGGACCAAGGAGUCUAACAUCUAUGCGAGUGUUCGGGUGUCAAACCCUUGCGCGGAAUGAAAGUGAACGGAGGUAGGAAGGCCUGAGCCUGCACUAUCGACCGAUCCUGAUGUCUUCGGAUGGAUUUGAGUAAGAGCAUAGCUGUUGGGACCCGAAAGAUGGUGAACUAUGCGUGAAUAGGGUGAAGCCAGAGGAAACUCUGGUGGAGGCUCGCAGCGGUUCUGACGUGCAAAUCGAUCGUCAAAUUUGCGUAUAGGGGCGAAAGACUAAUCGAACCAUUGGUAAUCACUACUAGGUGGUUAAGAGUCAAGUGUGAAAAGCACUGGCUAGUCGUGGGUCCACGGCAAGGUCGUCAAAUUGCGGGAACACCCUAAAGCCUGAGGUACCGCCGACCGUCCCGAAAGGGCGACUGGCACCACGGAGAGAUUUCGUGGGUAUGGUAACAAUCCAAAGGAUGGUCCAGGUCAAGUCCUGGGCCGCUGUAAUGGGCAAUCCGCAGCCAAGCCUGUUUCCUCCCUCCCUCCCUCUCAGGGGGGUGUGGUACGGGGGAGAUUGGGUGCAGUUCAUCGACUAGAUGUCGACCGGGUUCCGGGCUUGUUUCCACAAGUCCAGGGCCUCAAGAUAUAGUCAGGCCCCCGGGGAGACCCGGGCGAGGGGAUGAAGUAGGGAGGAUUGGACCCGGUACCACGUCUACCAGACGUGACGGUCCUGCCUACCCGAAUCCCUUUGGCUGGUUCCAUUGGACCGGUGA
RNAcentral lists this ribosomal RNA (1396 nucleotides) under Chaetothyriales sp. M-Camp4. Its description in RNAcentral is "eukaryotic LSU rRNA". It matches the Rfam family "Eukaryotic large subunit ribosomal RNA", at positions 1 to 1494 of the family's 3401-position model. Lineage: Eukaryota; Fungi; Ascomycota; Eurotiomycetes; Chaetothyriales. RNAcentral also lists the same sequence under 1 other name. The record is from RNAcentral.